UACGGGCUCAGUAACACGUGGAUAAUCUGCCCUCAGGUGAGGAAUAAUCCCGGGAAACUGGGGCUAAUACGUCAUAGGAGACAGGUGCUGGAAUGCUCUGUCUCCCAAAGGUCCGCCGCCUGAGGAUGAGUCUGCGUCCGAUUAGGUUGUUGUUGGGGUAACGGCCCAACAAGCCAUUGAUCGGUACGGGUUGUGGGAGCAAGAGCCCGGAGAUGGAUUCUGAGACAUGAAUCCAGGCCCUACGGGGCGCAGCAGGCGCGAAAACUUUACAAUGCGAGCAAUCGUGAUAAGGAAACCCUGAGUGCCUGUCAAUGCAGGCUGUUCUGGUGUCUAACACACACCAGGAGAAAGGGCGGGGCAAGACCGGUGCCAGCCGCCGCGGUAAUACCGGCUGCUCGAGUGAUAGCCGCUUUUACUGGGCUUAAAGCGUUCGUAGCUUGGUCGUUAACUCUCUGGGGAAAUCUUUUGGCUUAACCAAAAGGCGUCUCAGGGAAAGUGGCGAUCUUGGAACCGGGAGAGGUAAGACGUACUUCGGGGGUAGGAGUGAAAUCUUGUAAUCCCCGAGGGACGACCGAUGGCGAAGGCAUCUUACCAGAACGGCUUCGACAGUGAGGGACGAAAGCUGGGGGAGCAAACCGGAUUAGAUGCCCGGGUAGUCCCAGCCGUAAACGAUGUGCGUUAGGUGUGUCAGCGACCACGAGUCGCUGAGGUGCCGAAGGGAAACCGUGAAACGCACCGCCUGGGAAGUACGGUCGCAAGGCUGAAACUUAAAGGAAUUGGCGGGGGAGCACAAGGG
This 796-nucleotide ribosomal RNA is filed under the name uncultured archaeon. RNAcentral's name for it is "bacterial SSU rRNA". It matches the Rfam family "Archaeal small subunit ribosomal RNA", at positions 83 to 887 of the family's 1478-position model. The record is from RNAcentral.